UUCUCUUUAAGGAUUCAGUGGCUUGAUUCCUGACAUUUCCUCUUUAAGAGGAAUCUUAUGUCAUCUUCUGAAAUCAUGUAUAGGUCAACUCUAUUGGUAAACAAGCAAGUAAACAAGCAAGCAAACAAACCAGCAUGUGACAGAAAACUGGCUAAUAUUCUGGGACGCUUUCCAGAGAAACAUUAAGCCUUUUAAGUGUGUAUGAGCCACUUUAAGAAACUUCAUAAGUGUUGCUAAAUUCACCACAGUCUGCUUCACCUAGAAAGGGGAACAGAGAAGAAUUAUUUUGUUAAACUGGGUUAACAAAUCUUAAAAAUUAAUUCAUUCUAGGGAAGGACUAGAUAAAAUUUCUGAUCUAAAUUAAGAUUUUCAGUUCAUUUCAACCACUAGAAUAUACUAAAUAACCACUUGGGUUUGUUAAAAUGCAGACUCCUGAGUUUCGGUUUCAAUAGGUUGAGGGUGGGGCCUAGGAAUCCUCAUUUUAGCAAUAACCCUCCUCUCCAAGUAUGAUUCUGACACACUGAUAAACGCUACUAGGAUGUAGCAAGAAGCAGGCCACUGCCGUGGCUGCUGUUGUUAUCUCAUUUAAGAGUAUCUGAAGGCUUAAAAGACAAAAAUAGUUGAGAACAGAAGGGGUCCUGAACAUCAGGGCAGAAGAGCAGUGAUUAGCCAUUGCCCAGUGAUAGUGACCACAGCUGGGAGGUGAACUUUCCCCCUUUCUGCUGCCACCAACCAGGGAAUCCAUCUCUAGGUAUCAAGACUGGGCAAGUCUGUAAUCCAUGACCUUUUGUUACCUGUGUGUUUGCUAGGAAAUAUCCGGAUGUGCGCCAGAGGAGAUAAAAUGAGGCUUAGCACAAACAUGCUGCUGCCCAGACUUAACAGUGGUCAAAAGCAAUGCUUAUGCUUAUAAGAACUGCUUGUUGGGCGGGCGCGGUGGCUCACACCUAUAAUCCCAGCAUUUUGGGAGGCCGAGGCGGGCAGAUCACGAGGUCAGGAGAUUGAGACCAUCCUGGCUGACAUGAUGAAACCCUGCCUCUACUAAAAAUACAAAAAAUUAGCCAGGCGUGGUGGCAGGUGCCUGUGGUCCCAGCUGCUCAGGAGGCUGAGGCAGGAGAAUGGCAUGAACCCAGGAGGCAGAGCUUACAGUGAGCUGAGAUCGCACCACCACACUCCAGCCUGAGCAACAGAGUGAGACUCCAUCUCAAAAAAAAAAAAAAGAACUGCUUAUUCCAGGGUGCCAGCAAAUGCUUCGUGUAGACAUUUAAGCCUUCCACUGAUCAUGCAAACAUGCUCAUGGGGGCUUCACCCAACAGUCCAAUGAGGCAAACCACAUUCAGUUAAGCUCCGUAUCAGCUCUCACAAGUGGCAGUCUCCAUCUGUGUGAAACAGAUUUCAGAUGCAGAGGGCUUCGUGGUAUUUGGAGGAAUAAUACCUUCCAAAACCGAUCUGGGCAAGCCAAGCAAGGUGGCUGCCAAUGUGGGGAAGCUCCAGAACGCCUGUGAGGCCCCUGUGGGUGGUUCUCCAAGAAGAUGGGGGCCCUGGUCCUCACAGAUAUCACUGUACACUCCCCGGACUAUUAAACAGCUCUGGUGGCAAACCUGGCGGGUGGGAUUAGUGGGGGCACUCCUAGACUCGGAGAUGGACAAUUCCUAGCCAGAGGCACCCGGUCAGAGCGGGCAGCUUUCAGGCCCUGCCCAUCCCUCGGGUUCUGGUGCACUGCCUCAGAAGAGUCACAUCUGCUCUAGCCUUUGGGCCGCCUCUCAGGACAAGGGAAAAAUGUUCUAUCUCUGUGCUGCAGAGAAGUGCUCCUUUGUCAGCAUAAUAAAGUGGGAACCUCAAAAGUAUCUGUUUUACUCACUUAUUCAGUGUGGAGACUUAUGGGAAAACAGUUUUAUUUUGUUAUUAAACCAGGCACUGCCUUUGGGCAUGUUAUUUAUAUAAAGAUAACUGCGCUUUAGAGAUUAUGUCCUGUGAAAGUAAACUUUAACUUCGAAGAGCAGGCCCUUCUUAACAGUCAUCCUGAUAAUUUGUUGCCAGGGAAUAAAGUUGUAAUUGCUACCUCUAUAUUCCUAUGAAGUCAGAUGGCUUUGCCAGCCCAGAAGACGACCAGUGGCCCGUGCCUCUCCUGCAUGCACAGCAGCAAAACAAGCGCCAGGACUGUGGGAUUCUUUAUUCCAACAGAGUGUGAGAGUGUUUGUCUCAAGUAAUGAGCCAGACAAUCAUUCCUAAACACCUGCUCUAUGACACACACUGUCCUAGGCCCUGCUUGGAAUUAAAAAAAAUUAGAAACAAAACAAAACUGAGAUUUCCAAUCAUGGUAGGGAGUCAAUAGUUCAACACGGAAUUGUUCUACAAUUGAAAAAGACAGAGAUUAAAUAAAUGCUAAGAAUUUAAGCCCUCAAAUGACCUACAACCUACAAGUCUACCUUAGUUAUCAUCACCGUAAUCUCCUGAAACAGCAGUCAAUCAUUACAAGCAGAAAGUGCAUUAUAAAUUACACUGAGCUAGGAGCCUGGCCAGCUACCAGUGAGGCAGCCAGAGGAGAAGUACAGCAUCAUGGAUAGAAGUCAGGUGAUGGCUCUGGAGCAAGAAUGCCUGGGUUUGAGUCCCAGCACCACCACUUCCUGGCUGCAAGAACAAACAGUUUAGGCCAGUUUGUUCUCUGUGCAUCAGCUUUCCAUUUCACACAUGUGGAAAAACAGCACCUACCUGUUGCGGUGGAAGGUUGCGCAAGAAAGGGAUGUGGUGAGAACUGAAUGAGUUAAUACAUGAAAAGUAGCCAGUAUAGCACCCAGCCAGUAAUAAACAAUGGACACUAGCUGUUAUUGUUACUGUUCUUAUCACCUCCCCAGAUAUGCCAGAAUUCCCUGUGUCACCUGGGAGAAGCACCAGUCCCUUGUAUUCCCUCAUUUGAACCCUUAGCUAACUCCAAAGACUCCAGUUACACUCUUCUUUCCUUUCCCUUUCUGUCUUCAGGUCCUGGGCUUUAUUUUCUCCCAUGGCCUCUUUUAUCUCAGCCUCCUCCCUUCCAUGCACUUCUUAGUGGGAUAAACCACACAUCCCCAUAGGCAUUUGUAGUACUGGGGCUGAUGGGAUGGGGUUACUUGCUCAGACUCAGAUGAAGGGCAUUCACAGUCCAGGAGCACCUGAGUCUAAGCCUCAUGAGAAAAUGCCAUCGUGGGUCAUAACUGGGCUCUGUUCAGGGCCCAAUAAGCACAGCCUUAAAAUGGAGUCUCAACCUGGUGUCCAGGCCUGUAGACAGAGUUCAGGGGUCUGCGAACUUGGCUCAAAAAAAUUUUUUUUUCAUUUUCAUUAGGCUCUAACUGAAUGUAUCAUUUCCUUCAAUAAUGAAUGUAGGGAAUAAACCACAGGGUGACAGCCUAUCUGUGACUGUCUCCAACAGAAAUAGAGAAAUCACAGAUACGUUCAUAUCAUGUCACAGGUGUUGCAGAUGUCUUAAAAUAUUGUCUUCAAUCCUCACUACUUUAAAAGCACAGAAAAGGCCAGGCAUGGUCGCUCAUGCCUGUAAUCCUAGCACUUUGGGAGGCUGAGGCAGGCAGACUGCCUGAGCUCAGGAGUUCGACACCACCCUCUUUAUGAAAAUACAAAAAAUCAGCUGGGUGUGGUGGUCUAUGCCUGUAUUCCCAGCUGCUUGGGAGGCUUGAGGCAUAAGAAUCGUUUGAACCCAGUAGGUGGAGGCUGCAAUGAGCUGAGAUGGUGCCACUGCACUCAGCCUGGGUGACAGAGUAAGACUCUGUCUUGAAAAAAAAAGAAAAAGUAAUAGACUUAUUACUAGAUCUUAUAUUUAAUAUAUUAAUAAAACGAUUAUACCACACAUUUACAAAUAUUUUCAUAAAUGUAUUUCAUUAUAGUUGAUUUUCUUCUUAAUCCUCUGUAUUUUAUGUGUUUAAAACAUUAUUCUGAGAAGGGGUCAGCGGCUUUACCAGACUGCCCAGGGUGUCCAGGGCACAUGAAACGGUUAAACCCCCCUUGCCUUAGAAGGCUGAGGAUGGCUGUAAGGGCGGCAAUCUUAGGUGAAAGAUGUGUAAGUACUUACUGAACUGUGACAUUAUAAUAUUCUUCUGGUGUCACGAUUUUUGGUCCACCAAAGUAGUCCAGGACCCAGAUAUUGGUUAUAUUCAA
This 4143-nucleotide long non-coding RNA is filed under the name Homo sapiens (human). RNAcentral describes it as "HSALNT0017054". Lineage: Eukaryota; Metazoa; Chordata; Mammalia; Primates; Hominidae. The record is from RNAcentral.